Molecule: small nucleolar RNA, 96 nt
Filed under: Klebsormidium nitens
Lineage: Eukaryota; Viridiplantae; Streptophyta; Klebsormidiophyceae; Klebsormidiales; Klebsormidiaceae
Description: small nucleolar RNA snoR126
Rfam family: small nucleolar RNA snoR126
Source: Rfam by way of RNAcentral
GGGCGGUGAUGACCCAGAUUUCUCGAUGCUGACCUGGCCCCAAAGUGGGCUCAGGGCACCGUGCUGACACACUGAAUUUGUGCGUGUCUGAGUCCC